Long non-coding RNA from Daphnia pulicaria, 266 nucleotides. RefSeq lists it as uncharacterized. NCBI's taxonomy places the organism in Eukaryota, Metazoa, Arthropoda, Branchiopoda, Diplostraca, Daphniidae. The record is from RefSeq and is a predicted model, not a curated record. The transcript is spliced from 2 exons.
ACUAGUUCCAGGCCGGCUUGGCUGCAUUCUACAACAACAAACAACAACCAGAAAAGGAAAUUUUUAUAUUUUUUCAAGUUCAACUUUUCAUCCGGUUUUGCACGGUCCAGCGCUACUUGUGCUCAUCCAACCUGAUUGAACAAAUAAACCCAACAAACGUCCCCCCACCACCAGGAAAAUCUGAUGGCCAAGUCUGCAAAAAGCUGUGCGUGUGUCUGUGUUUAUGGACAAUCCAGUUGGAUCCGGAAGACACGUUUUGAAAGAAA